RNAcentral lists this ribosomal RNA (410 nucleotides) under uncultured Lactobacillus sp. Its description in RNAcentral is "bacterial SSU rRNA". It matches the Rfam family "Bacterial small subunit ribosomal RNA", at positions 627 to 1035 of the family's 1533-position model. Lineage: Bacteria; Bacillati; Bacillota; Bacilli; Lactobacillales; Lactobacillaceae. The record is from RNAcentral.
CGGAAACUGGGAAACUUGAGUGCAGAAGAGGACAGUGGAACUCCAUGUGUAGCGGUGAAAUGCGUAGAUAUAUGGAAGAACACCAGUGGCGAAGGCGGCUGUCUGGUCUGUAACUGACGCUGAGGCUCGAAAGCAUGGGUAGCAAACAGGAUUAGAUACCCUGGUAGUCCAUGCCGUAAACGAUGAGUGCUAGGUGUUGGAGGGUUUCCGCCCUUCAGUGCCGCAGCUAACGCAUUAAGCACUCCGCCUGGGGAGUACGACCGCAAGGUUGAAACUCAAAGGAAUUGACGGGGGCCCGCACAAGCGGUGGAGCAUGUGGUUUAAUUCGAAGCAACGCGAAGAACCUUACCAGGUCUUGACAUCCUUUGACCACUCUAGAGAUAGAGCUUUCCCUUCGGGGACAAAGUGAC